UCUUUUAAAUUUUGUUUAUAUUAUUAAAUUUUGAUAUAAUUGAUGAAAUAAUUAACUAGCAAUAUAUAAAAGUUUUUAUGGGGCAUAGGCCUCUCAAAAGGUAAUGAAGGCGUGCAAAAGAUUUCUUUGGCCGGACGGAAAUUGGCCCUCAAGUGUAAAGUCAGAAGGGAGCUUGGCUGCAAGACCCACCCGUUGAGCAAAGACAACAUUCGGCCUUAGGGAUCCGACGAUACCAAGUGGAAAGGUUAUUGCUCAACGGAUUAAAGUUACUCUAGGGAUAACAGGCUGAUCUUCCUCAAAAAUUCACAUCGACAAGAAGGUUUGGCACCUCGAUGUCGACUCUUCGCCACUUGGGACUAUAGUAUGUUCCAAGGGUUGACCUGUUCGCCUAUUAAAGCAGUGUAUACAUUAUGUUGACAUAUAAAGAUC
Non-coding RNA from Gossypium arboreum, 429 nucleotides. The record is from Rfam. NCBI's taxonomy places the organism in Eukaryota, Viridiplantae, Streptophyta, Magnoliopsida, Malvales, Malvaceae.